Long non-coding RNA from Cavia porcellus (domestic guinea pig), 5512 nucleotides. RefSeq lists it as uncharacterized. The transcript is spliced from 4 exons. NCBI's taxonomy places the organism in Eukaryota, Metazoa, Chordata, Mammalia, Rodentia, Caviidae. The record is from RefSeq and is a predicted model, not a curated record.
UAUACCUGGGUAGUGAGUUUCGGUGCAGACUCUCCCUUCCACUAAUCUAGAAUUAGGGGAGAAGAUGAAAGUCAGUGUGUCUUAAUGUAUUUAAAGAAGGAAAAUUCUCUGAUUUAAAAUGGCAUCUUCAGUAAUUCCACUGAAGAAGCUGUUGUUGCCAUGGUGACCAAAGUCCAGUGAAUAAGGUUCUGUCAUCUUUUUCCUAUUUCCCACCCCUCUGUACAUUUCUUAGCAAUUCUCCAUUGCAUUCAUUUAUGAGUAUCUCAAGGCCACUCUUCUGCCUAAUGAAAAUAUUCCUACUUCCCAGGAGAGGAUAUCUCUCUGUCAAGUAAAACCAAACCCAGAAAUGGUAGGGUACAUUGGAUCGUCGAGACCUACCUCCUCCAGGCAAAUGGAGAAUCUGCAGGUGUGCUCCAUUUUAUGUUCCCAGGUCUGGCAAUCUCGAUCAUUGGCUAGAUGCACCAUGCAGGGGAUCUCACAGCCAAAGGAGAUUUGCUUCAGCUUAAAAUUCAUAUGGUGCCAUAACAAUGCCAUUAAGUUGCUCUGGAUUUUUGGAAAACCUCUCCUUGGCGUUUCAUCUUCUUGCCAGCUACAGAUCUUAUUGUGGCUCCUUGACCACUAGGACUUGGUAUGACAGGACUACAUGUGGCCACAGAGUAAAGGGAAGACGUAGGGUAGACAUGAACAGUGAUGAAACUGUGAAAGCUGUGAUCUCAAAGUUGGAUGGUCCGUCCACAGUGACCCCAAACUUCCCUGCUGGUGGUGGCACAGGAGUGAUAAGGAAGACCUUCAAGCAGGCACCAAGUUUUCCAGGGCUGUAUCAGCUGAGGCUUUCUGGCUGAUUCUCCGCCUCCCAUUUCAAUUCUGCUCAAAAUCCAUCUCCGCCAACUCUAUCCACAGAGUGGAAAGUGUGGAAAAUGGUUGGCCUGAACUUACCCAGGAAAUAAGCUGUGAGUGACUGAUCUAUGUUAUCCUGAGUCCUCCUCAGAGCUACAACCCAGUAACCAGCUGGGAGCAGAGCAGCAACACCAGGUUGCUGCAUCUUGGCAAUCAGAGUGGAAGAGCAACUUCUCCUUCCUGCUACCGAAUUCAUUAUUGCCUAUUUAAUCACUUCUUCAUUGAUUAAUCCAAAGUGUUGGAAAUGUGUUUUGUCUGUCACGUAGAAUUCCAUAAAGAAUUUCUGUGCACAUGUUGUUUUUUGUUCAGUCAUCAUCCCAAGCACUGCAGGGUAUGACGUAUCUUCUCUGUUUCAUAAGUGAGGAAAUGAAGCCCUUUAGAGAUUAAGGGAUUUGUCUAGUCUGAGGUCACACAGCUGGUAGAGUAGUAGAACCAGAACUAGAAACCUCACUCCACGACUCAUACGUCUCUAAGUACCCCACGUGACUUCUUCCUAACACAGACAUGAAAGCUUCCCAAAGCCAGGUGACCUGAGCAAGUCCUCAUCUUUGUCUGAAAUUCCGCUUUCUUUAAUGGCUAUGCCCCUUCUUGCUGCUAUUUGACCUAAUUUCCUCUGGCUCAGGUCUCAGUGGAGGAAAAUAAAACCCUUUGGGACAAGAAAGCAUGAAAUUCCUUUUGUACCCCCCAGGUAUGGGUCACCAGCUGCUUCCCUGACCCCAUAAACUUUGACUCCUGGAGAGCUUAGAGAGGUCAGGCCAGCCUGGGGAGCCUGGAAAAGUGAGGAACUGCUGCUGGAGGUCUGUUUUUCUUUGCAAGAGGUCCCUGGGACCAUGGAGCCUCUGCGGUAUUUUGCAUAAAUUCAACAUCUCCUCAUGCAUGAGAACAUUUUCCUGGACUCCUAUAAUUGGGGGAGAGGGGUAUGCUGGGGAUAGACCCAGGGCUUCAUGCAGGCUAGUCAAGUACUCUAUCAGUGAGCCACUGCCCUAUCCUACCCUAGUCUUCUCUUUGAGGUAAACAUGUUAACAACAUUGCUGGCCUGACCCAAGUCCUGGCAUCAAUGGGGGGCUGUGUGGUGAGAGAGAGAGGCUCUGUCUUUUCCCUGAAACAGAAUUGGCAUCCAGAAAUGUGCCAAACCCGCAAUCAAGGUCAUCAGCUCCCUGCAACCCACUGCUAGAUCAACUGCAAGGAGGAAUAGGGAGAAAUUAUGAGUGACUGUGUGUGUAACUUCAUCAGCUUCCUACACCUCUCCAACAUACAAUUUGCUCUUUGGCUCAAAAGUUAUUGAGUUCUAGGCUCCAGGUUGUCCUGUAGGGUAUUGUCUUAAUCAUUUUUCUUGUUGGUGAGGCAAAAUAUUUGACACUCAAAGUUGAAGGAGGGAAGGUUUACGUAGUUCAGUUUGUAGAGGUUUCUAUCUGUAGUCAGCUGGCUCCAAGACAGUCUGACACCACAGAUAGGCAUUGCAAAGGGAAAACAGUUCAUGGCAGCAGGACAACCACAGCUCUGUGUAUCCCUUAUAUCUUAUCUAGGCUACAUAGGGUGGGUAGCACUCAUACCCUCAAUCCUAGUGCUGUUGAUCCUAGCAUUGCACCAUGAAUCAAUUCCAGUGUCAUACAUUCCAGAUCUACCCACCUCUGAAAAAGCUCUGUCUAUGACCACAUGAAGCUUUGCAAGGAUCUCUAGACAUAAGCCAUAACAGGAGGUUGUGGGUUGUGGGGACUGACUGAGGGGGGUUGAGAGGCAUCCGAGGAUGGACUGCAAGCUUGUGGCCACCAGGGUGCUGCUGGUGCAUGACAAUCCUGAUUGGCAGGCAGUCCUGAAGCAGGGGAGGGUGAGUCAAUGCUCAGGUCAAAGCCUGGACCAGUUGCUAUGGCAACCACUUUCCACACUGAGGAGAACAGGUAGGCCUGGUCUACACCAGCCAGGAGGAAGGUGGCUCCGGAGUUGGGCUAUGUGACCAGCACUUUCUGUUUCCUUUCCACCUUUGUCCUGGAUUGCCCCAGUCCGACCAAGCUCAGCAGUGAGGUGUGGGCAGGAGACUUCUCCCCUCUAACCCAAAUUUGAUAAUUACUGGGAACUUAUUGAGAAUAUUUUAGUAGUAUUUAAAAUGCCGGCUUUGAAAAUAAGACUCAGUUGUAUUCAUUUUAAAUGCAGGGCAAAGUUCUUAAUAUGCAUCUGGAUGAAAGAGAAAAUGUUCCCUGUCUUCUCUAUCUAAAGCCAAACAAAUAUCUUUCCUGCAGUUGUUUCUCUCUCUCUCUCUCUGGUUGACUGGCUCUUUCCCUCUUUCUCUCUCCUCUGUCUGUCAUAAGAUAUGAAGUGGAAAAAGAAAAACCUCACUUGUUCAAAUCAAUUGAAUGCAGCUGGUUGAAAGACAGGUUGCAUUGCCAAUAAGAAACAGUAACUGAGCAGGCCAGCGCCAAAGGUACAGCUCAGUGGUAACAUUUGCCUACUAGACCCAAGGCCCUAAGUUUGAUCACCAGGACUUCAAAGAAACAAACCAAAACUCUAAAGCCAGCAGCAAACUUGUAGCUAAUGAAAUUUGAUAUUCUGAGGCUGAGUUCAGUAAGAGUGAGGCUGGUUCAGGCACUUUUCUCCUCAGCCAAGGAGUUUUGCUGCCAACUAGAUGUUGCCCUUUCCUGGGUUCUAGGAUCUAAAUCCUAGCUGCCCCUGUGGUAGAGAAAGAAUACCAGGAUGCUGCCAUGUAUGCCAAAGGUGCUGACUCACCCCCCUCCCCAGCAGGGCCCAACUCUGAUCAGGCCACAGUUGGAAAGCCUGAUGUCCCGCUGUGCUGCCACUCUGAGCACAACUAACUGGCAGCUGUAUUCUUACCCAGGCAAGGUACCUCUCCUCUCUGUGCCAAUGAUUGACAGUCAUUCAACAUUCAACAAGCAUUUUUUGAACAUUUUGUAUGCAUCUAUGAAUUCUAAGAACUCACAUUCUAGAGAAGGAGACACAGCCAUAUGCAAUUUAAUACUGUGCAGAAAUACAAAGGAAGAGGCAGCCAGUCCAAGAAAAAGCUUCCAAGAAAAGGUGUUACCUGACAUGAAUUUUCAAGAUGGAAGGAAAAACAUUCCAGCAAAAAAGCAGAGGUACAGGGAUAAGCAACACCAUGCAGUGCUGUUACUGUGGUGCAUUUUUUAAGUACAAAAAACAGCCCCUUGAGAAUAACUGUGCCUCUUGAAGAAUAAGUAUCAUGUUUAUAGCCUGGUACAAUGUACAUGUUUGGAAUCCCACACUCUGAGAGGCUGAGGCUGGUGAUCUCAAGUUUGAACCCAACCUGGGCAACUCAGUGACUUAGCAAGACCUUGUCCAAAAAUGAAAAACAAACAUGGGUUGGGAAUGUAGCUCAGAGUGAAUCCUGUCUGUACUCAUGGUUUUGGCAUCUGUGGAUUUGAUCAAUCGCAAGUCAAAAAUAUUUGGGAAAAAUACUGCACUUUCACUGAAAAUAUACAAACUUGUUUCUUGUUGUUAGUCACUAAAUAAUAUAGAGUACAACUAUUUAAAAAACAUCCACGUUGUAUUUGGUAUUGCAGAUAAUACAUAGGUAAUUUUCAAAUAUAUAGGAGGAUGCACAUAGGUUCCAUGCCAACACUAUACUAUUUGACAAAAAGGGUUUGUAAUUUUCAAAUAUAUAGGAGGAUGCACAUAGGUUCCAUGCCAACACUAUACCAUUUAACAAAAAGGGUUUGAGCAUUCAUGGAGUUUGGUAUCUGCAGGUGGUCCCAGAUACUGAUGUACCUCACAUAUAGAUACCAUAUUGACCUCACAUAUAGACACAUAUUGACUGCUUCCAAAUUAUCUCCUAUACUGGAAAGCUGUUAGGGGGAAAUCAUUCACCCUGACCAUGUACACACACUCAUCCUGGUAACUUGUCUCCUUGUCCUCCUUGAUUGAUCUCCUGGGAACUUGAUUUGCCCAUUGUAGUGGGCUGUUGAAAGUGGAGACUGAUUACAUGUGUGGGGCUGAAGCAAGACCAGCCCUGAAAACACAGAGUUCAAAACAAGACAUAAACAAGUUGUUCCAGCACCAAGAAGGCAGGGGGGCCCAGGCCAGCCAGGCAAACAAAUUGCUAGCCCAUGGCAUUGAAAUUGACAUUCUUCUUUGGAGUCUAUAAAUAAAUGUGCUACAGUAGUUACAUAGUUCCUGCUCUCCCAUCAGGAGAGUGAGGGCUUCAGCUGCCCCAAGCUUUGUCUCCUUUACUUUUCCAUCCCCUCACCAUCCUUCUCCCCGAGAACAUCUAGAGCUGCAGCCAGUUGCUGCAGCCCUGGCGUGCAGGUCACUUGCUCCUGCUCCUACUGACCUUGUCUCUUUGACUGCCCAGGUUGCUGGUUUUCUGUGUUACUAGUGCCCCCUGCAGGCCCUGCUACUUGCUAAGUCUCACCAACUCACUGAGAGCUGUAGGUUUGGCUGAUGGCUCCGUUAGUGAGCUUCAGAGAGCCACACUACAGUGACGCUAAGUACGUAGUUUGCUCCAAUGACUCAACAUCCACUGCAGAGGCCGUCAGGGGGCUCAGGAUACCCUAGCCCCUGUUUUUCCCUGCUGUGUACGGCAUUCUAAAAAUUGCUCUUCUAUAUGAUUAUAACUUGGCAAUAUAUGACUUAAAAAGAAAAAAGAAAA